CCUACGGGAGGCAGCAGUGGGGAAUUUUGCGCAAUGGGGGAAACCCUGACGCAGCAACGCCGCGUGCGGGACGAAGGCCCUCGGGUCGUAAACCGCUUUCAGCAGGGUAGACCACGACGGUACCUGCAGAAGAAGCUCCGGCUAACUACGUGCCAGCAGCCGCGGUAAUACGUAGGGGGCGGGCGUUAUCCGGAUUCAUGGGGCGUAAAGCGCGCGUAGGCGGCCGCCUGAGCGGAACCUCUAACCCCGGGGCGCAACCUCGGGCCGGGUUGCGGACUGGGCGUCUCGAGUGCGGUAGAGGAGAGCGGAAUUCCUGGUGUAGCGGUGGAAUGCGCAGAUAUCGGGAAGAACACCGAUGGCGAAGGCAGCUCUCUGGGCCGUCACUGACGCUGAGGCGCGAAAGCUGGGGGAGCGAACAGGAUUAGAUACCCGUGUAGUC
Molecule: ribosomal RNA, 439 nt
Filed under: uncultured bacterium
Lineage: Bacteria
Description: partial 16S ribosomal RNA
Rfam family: Bacterial small subunit ribosomal RNA
Source: RNAcentral